RNAcentral lists this ribosomal RNA (180 nucleotides) under Staphylococcus aureus. RNAcentral's name for it is "partial 16S ribosomal RNA". It matches the Rfam family "Bacterial small subunit ribosomal RNA", at positions 1 to 175 of the family's 1533-position model. The record is from RNAcentral. RNAcentral also lists the same sequence under 1 other name. Lineage: Bacteria; Bacillati; Bacillota; Bacilli; Caryophanales; Staphylococcaceae.
UUUAUGGAGAGUUUGAUCCUGGCUCAGGAUGAACGCUGGCGGCGUGCCUAAUACAUGCAAGUCGAGCGAACGGACGAGAAGCUUGCUUCUCUGAUGUUAGCGGCGGACGGGUGAGUAACACGUGGAUAACCUACCUAUAAGACUGGGAUAACUUCGGGAAACCGGAGCUAAUACCGGAUA